Molecule: RNA transcript, 2689 nt
Organism: Sarcophilus harrisii (Tasmanian devil)
Lineage: Eukaryota; Metazoa; Chordata; Mammalia; Dasyuromorphia; Dasyuridae
Gene name: 25-hydroxyvitamin D-1 alpha hydroxylase, mitochondrial
Exons: 10
Source: RefSeq, a predicted model, not a curated record
UGAUUCUCAGAGAGAUUGAGUAACCCCAAAUCACCUGGGCUCUGCUGAACUUGUUGAGAUUGACCACCAUCUCUCCAAGCCCUACCAGCCUGGUCCCCUGUCUGGUAGGAUGUUGCCUGAACUGCCCCCCACCUCUCUCAUUUCUUUCAGCACACACUGAACCACUCUUCCCUCACUGUUGCCCUGGAAGACAAUACCUCCUUGGGGAGAAUGUACAGUCUAGGACUAGAGAAAAUGGGAGCAGAGGCUAUUUCCUGAAUGAGUUAGAAAAGGGGGAAUUCCUUAGGGAGGGAGAAGGGAUGGUGAGUUGGCUCUUUGGAGGAGGUUGAGAAUGCCAGAGACUGGCUUAGAUGUAUUGUCUCCCUACAGUGAUUUAUUUUUAGUUGUGGGGAUGGAGGUAGUUUGGAGACCUGGAGAAGAAACUGAGGAAGAGGGGAGGGCCACCCAGAAGUGAGUAGGAGGUUUUCAGUCGAGUUCUCUGCCUGUUUAAGCAAAUUGAGGAAUUCAGACAGCUAAGGAGAGAAGGGAUUGGCUGAGAUGUACUGGAGGGGGUGGCUUCUUUUCCUCCAUAGAUUUAAGUAGGGGCCAGAGAGGUUGGAGAAGAUGCUCUGACCAAGUGUAUACUUGCUAUUUGCUGCACCUCACCAUGGCACAGACCCUGAAGCUGGUGAAAAAGGUGUCACAGUUUACCCGACUGAUUCCAGAACUAGGUGUAAAGCUGGGCUUGAAGGGCAAGGAGAGAACCUCCUCCGGCUUGACAGACCUUCCCGGUCCUUCUACUCUCAGCUUCCUAACAGAACUUUUCUGCAAAGGGGGGCUGUCCCGUCUACAUGAGCUCCAGAUACAAGAUUCUGCUCGCUUCGGUCCAAUAUGGUUUGCCAGCUUCGGGCCGGUGCGGACCGUAUAUUUGGCAGCUCCUGCAUUGAUCGAGCAGCUGCUCCGACAGGAGGGUCCCUACCCGGAGCGCUGCAGCUUCUCUCCUUGGGUGGAGCACAGGCGACGUUGCCACCAGGCCUGUGGACUGCUCACAGCGGAAGGAGACGAAUGGCAAAGGAUCCGGAGCCUCCUGGCCCCGCUUCUGCUCCGGCCCCGAGCCUCCGCUGACUACGCGGAGACUCUGGACGGUGUGGUUUGCGACCUGGUGCGCUUGCUACGGAGAAAGAAGAGCCUUCUAGGAGGAUCAGCCGACCUCGUCCGAGAUGUGGCUGGAGAAUUCUACAAGUUCGGCCUGGAAGGCAUUGGGGCUGUACUCCUGGGCACCCGGCUAGGUUGUCUAGAGCCUGAAAUGCCCCCAGAAACGGACACCUUCAUUCGCGCAGUGAGCUCCGUAUUUGUGUCCACACUACUGACCAUGGCGAUGCCAAACUGGCUGAAUCGGCUCCUGCCUGGACCCUGGGAUCGCCUGUGUCGGGACUGGGACCAGAUGUUUGCUUUUGCCCAGAAGCACAUGGAGCUGAGGAAGGCUGAGGCAGCCACAAAGUCUAUAGGGGAGCCUAAAAAUGCCAAUGUUUCUAGACCUCACUUGACCCACUUCCUGUUCCAGAAAGAGCUACCAUAUGCCUCUAUCCUGGGAAACAUUACUGAGUUACUUCUGGCUGGUGUUGACACAGUCUCCAAUACACUUUCCUGGGUUCUAUAUGAACUUGCACAUCACCCAGAAAUUCAGACUGCACUCCAUGCUGAGAUCACAGGUGCCAUGGCCCCUGGGUCUUCCACCCACCCACCAGCUACUACUUUGGCCCAACUGCCCCUUCUGAGAGCUGUAGUGAAGGAGGUACUGAGGCUAUACCCUGUGGUACCUGGAAAUUCUCGUGUCCCAGACAAAGAUAUCUGUGUAGGUGAUUAUAUCAUCCCAAAAAAGACCCUGGUCACACUGUGUCACUAUACCACAUCUCGAGAUCCUGACCAGUUCCCAGAACCAAAUGCUUUCCACCCAGAAAGAUGGCUGGGGGGACAGUCAGCUCCCCAUGCUUUUGCCUCUCUCCCCUUUGGCUUUGGCAAACGAAGUUGUAUAGGAAAGCGCCUAGCAGAACUUGAGCUAAACCUGGCUCUGGCCCAGAUCCUGAUCCACUUUGAAGUCAGGCCAGAGCCAGGUGCUGGGAUCAUCAAGCCAAUGACCAGGACAGUGCUGGUACCUGAGAGAAGCAUCAAUCUGAAGUUUGUGAACCGAUAAAGAUGUGAUUUAUCUGUUUUCCUUUUCCCCCAUUCCUUGAUAGAAAAGGAUAAAUAGACACAAGUACUCCAAGUGUCUGGAAAAUACUUCUUCCCUCUUCUCCAUAGAGAGGACAAGGUCCUUUUGUGCUGAACUGGAGAAUGAUCAAAUCAAAGGCCUUGAGAAAGAUCUGGACAAAGGACGAGAAAGUUCAUCUGUUGAACACACACUAUGCAUUUGGUCUAGACCAGUGAGAUUGUGGACCACAAGGUUAAUUUUGACUUUAAGCCACAUAAAACAAAGGUCUGAGGAGCUGUCUGAUUCCAUCUUUUUCCAUCCAUCCUCUGAAGCCCUCUGAGCCUUGGACAUGUGGUAAUUCUGGAUCUUCCCUCCUGAAUUGGUUUCCCUGGCACUGGAAGUGACCUGAUGAACAAUGGGUGGUCUGGGCACCUGGAAGAGUUUGUUGCAUCACUGACCCAGGCAUGUUGCUAUCUGCUAUGGGGAGCAAGCAGCCAAGCCUGGCUUCCUACAAAAAAA